UCCAAGUGGUUUGGCUUGUUAAAAACAUCUUGCAUUAUGAUACAGGAAUUUGCUGGCUUUGUGUUUACAGAAGUACCUGACUAUGCCGGACUUUUGUGCAGCCUACGGAUGCUCUAAUCACCGCAGUCUACAAACAAGAACCCGUGGGAUCACCUUUCACGUGUUUCCCAAAACCGAAGAGAGGAGGAGGCAGUGGGAACUUGCCCUAAGAAGGGACGGUUUUGUUUCCUGUGACAGGACAGUAACAGUUUGACCCGUUGUUGGGCCAAGCUGUUUUGUGCAUAUCAUUUUACUUACUUGCAGUUACAAAUAAACCGCUGGUAACACAUACCAAUUCUA
Molecule: long non-coding RNA, 339 nt
Organism: Gymnodraco acuticeps
Lineage: Eukaryota; Metazoa; Chordata; Actinopteri; Perciformes; Bathydraconidae
Exons: 2
Source: RefSeq, a predicted model, not a curated record